UUAAUAGAAGUUUUAAUAAACAUGUCACUGUUACUGAUAAAAUGGAUAACAAAAAUCCCUAUUAAA
This 66-nucleotide transfer RNA is filed under the name Brachycybe lecontii. RNAcentral's name for it is "tRNA-Asn". The record is from RNAcentral. Lineage: Eukaryota; Metazoa; Arthropoda; Diplopoda; Playtdesmida; Andrognathidae.